Molecule: long non-coding RNA, 524 nt
Organism: Rhincodon typus (whale shark)
Lineage: Eukaryota; Metazoa; Chordata; Chondrichthyes; Orectolobiformes; Rhincodontidae
Exons: 3
Source: RefSeq, a predicted model, not a curated record
UUAAACAAGAACCUAAGGAUCAAGAUCAGAAAUUGCUGGAGAAACUCAGCAGGCCUGUGGAGAGAAAGCAGAGUUAACAUUUCGGGUCAAGUUGUCCAAGUGGGUCUGGAAAGGACGUUCCUCUUGUAGAUCUGUGUGCAGCAAACACAAAAAUUGGCUAAGGCCAGCAGAAACUGCUACUGCCUGGUGCUCAGUCUGUGGAGAAAGACCAUGACAUCAUCCACCCAGGAGGAUCGGAGUGCAUCAUCGCAUCAUCAGUUUUUGUUGUAGAUAUCUGAAAGGUGCAGGCCUCUUGUCCACAGCCACGUUGGAGGGAGUUCGCUGGGUGGUAGUACACUCUGGAGAUUUUGAACACUUGGGGCAGUCAUCCCCCAGCACCUAUCAGCCAAGAAGGUCCAAGCCUACUGAGAGUACCCUGCUCAGCUGGAGACUCACCGUCCUCAGCCUCACCUGCUACAAGCAUUGGGGUCACAGGCAGGAAAAGCAUAGAGGGGCAUUUUUUUUUUCUUUAUUCAUUCAUGGGA